AAAGACGACGCUGCAGGAAUAUGGUGGUUACUUCGCAUGCAUCGCAGAGCAGUUGUCGUGCAGUCGUUGUCGAAGCACCUGCAUCGGGACACGUAUCUGUCGUCGCGUGAGAUUGAAACGGAUGACGUCACAAGACGACAACCCCAUGCUCUCAGCUGCACACGAACGUACGUACUAUACAUGCUGGUCGUGCAUGUUGCGUGCAGGUGACCCGCUAAUUUGCAUAUGACCUCUGCAAACCUGCUUUCGAUGCACCGAGCAUUGAGAGUGUGUCGCUGUAUACAGAAUGUGUUUGGGGAGAAGAGCGGUGUGAGUUAUACAAUCCACGCCGCUCAAUAGUCAGGAUAUUUCAUAUAGGUGGAUAUACUUUACCAUACGACUGCAAUCAACGAAGAUGGCGGAGCAGAAAACAACCCGGAAUGAGCCAUACAAGUACACAAUAAACUGUUUUGAAAAAGCUGCUAAGGGUGUGUAACCCAUCAACAAUAUCAUCCUCCCGGGUACCCAUGAACAGAGGCACACAUCGAACAAAGUC
This is a long non-coding RNA of Haliotis rubra (blacklip abalone), 535 nucleotides long. RefSeq lists it as uncharacterized. NCBI's taxonomy places the organism in Eukaryota, Metazoa, Mollusca, Gastropoda, Lepetellida, Haliotidae. The record is from RefSeq and is a predicted model, not a curated record. The transcript has 3 exons.